UACCAAUAUCUAAUACUUAGAUCAUUGUAUCAAAAAUUUAAAAGUUGCAAGGUGUUAUCAUAUAAUUAUCUUGCCCAGCAACUGAUUGCUUUUUCUUCUUCGACCUAUUCAGAUAAAAAAAAGCUAUAUAUUGAGGACAGUUCUUUUUUCAAUGGCCCUACUUCCUAUAGUAGAAGCACUUUGCCUGACUCUGGUUGGACUUAGACUUGGACGUCUGGGUCUGACUUCCAAUACUUUGUACCUUUUUAUUCUUCUUUUUCUUUCCUUUCUUAAAAAGACGACGUCCAUCUAAAGAAAAUCCUUCCACUACAUUCACUGUCUCCUUAUAGAGCUAGUGAUUUUUUUCAAAAGUUUGUAGCAACCCCAACAGAUCUUGGUAGUUCACUAUAGGCUUCAUCAUUCGGUAAUGACUGAGAAAUUAUAGGUAGGAUUUUGGUAGAAAAUUCAGGAUCACAUCUUUUUCAAGCUAUUUGUACAAGAAAAAAUCAAGCUUGCUCAGGCGCUCAAUCUAUUCAAUCAUAUAUAAUAUAUGAUCAGUGAUCAAUGCUCCCUCCCUCAUCCUGAUGUUGAAAACGACACAACUAGUCUUGUAUUUUUUGAUGUCAUCGGGAGUGCCAAAAGAUUCAUUCAACACCUUGAGCAUGUUUUUUGAUUGAGCUUUCUCGAAUUUGUGACUGAACACGUCAUUCAUGACUGUCUGCAUGAUACAAUGCACCGUGAUGCGAUCGUUGAGCCACUUCAGAUAAGUAUCUCAAAUCGCAUUGUAAGCAUUCGGAGUGGGCUCCUCAAGUGUCGGAUCGUAAGCACG
This 808-nucleotide long non-coding RNA is filed under the name Elaeis guineensis (African oil palm). RNAcentral describes it as "long non-coding RNA (EGUI_LNC059225)". Lineage: Eukaryota; Viridiplantae; Streptophyta; Magnoliopsida; Arecales; Arecaceae. The record is from RNAcentral.